RNAcentral lists this ribosomal RNA (281 nucleotides) under Eubacterium coprostanoligenes. Its description in RNAcentral is "partial 16S ribosomal RNA". It matches the Rfam family "Bacterial small subunit ribosomal RNA", at positions 496 to 776 of the family's 1533-position model. Lineage: Bacteria; Bacillati; Bacillota; Clostridia; Eubacteriales; Eubacteriaceae. The record is from RNAcentral.
UAGGUUUGUGUGCCAGCAGCCGCGGUAAUACGUAGGUGGCAAGCGUUAUCCGGAAUUACUGGGUGUAAAGGGAGCGCAGGCGGGAUAGCAAGUCAGCUGUGAAAACUAUGGGCUCAACCCAUAAACUGCAGUUGAAACUGUUAUUCUUGAGUGGAGUAGAGGCAAGCGGAAUUCCGAGUGUAGCGGUGAAAUGCGUAGAUAUUCGGAGGAACACCAGUGGCGAAGGCGGCUUGCUGGGCUCUAACUGACGCUGAGGCUCGAAAGUGUGGGGAGCAAACAGG